UACGAAGGGGGCUAGCGUUGCUCGGAAUCACUGGGCGUAAAGCGCACGUAGGCGGAUUGCUAAGUCAGGGGUGAAAUCCUGGAGCUCAACUCCAGAACUGCCUUUGAUACUGGCAAUCUCGAGUCCGGGAGAGGUGAGUGGAACUGCGAGUGUAGAGGUGAAAUUCGUAGAUAUUCGCAAGAACACCAGUGGCGAAGGCGGCUCACUGGCCCGGUACUGACGCUGAGGUGCGAAAGCGUGGGGAGCAAACGGG
This 253-nucleotide ribosomal RNA is filed under the name uncultured bacterium. RNAcentral describes it as "partial 16S ribosomal RNA". It matches the Rfam family "Bacterial small subunit ribosomal RNA", at positions 524 to 776 of the family's 1533-position model. The record is from RNAcentral.